GUUUGUACCCGAAAUCAUUUUAGCUGACCCGUAAGGGAGGCGGAUGCUGAAGGUAUGGGGGAUGAUUGGGGUGAAGUCGUAACAAGGUAGCUGUAGGUGAACCUGCAGAAGGAUCA
This 116-nucleotide ribosomal RNA is filed under the name uncultured eukaryote. Its description in RNAcentral is "partial small subunit ribosomal RNA". It matches the Rfam family "Bacterial small subunit ribosomal RNA", at positions 1413 to 1525 of the family's 1533-position model. The record is from RNAcentral.